This 249-nucleotide ribosomal RNA is filed under the name uncultured bacterium. RNAcentral's name for it is "partial 16S ribosomal RNA". It matches the Rfam family "Bacterial small subunit ribosomal RNA", at positions 524 to 771 of the family's 1533-position model. The record is from RNAcentral.
UACGUAGGCAGCAAGCGUUGUUCGGAGUUACUGGGCGUAAAGGGUGCGUAGGCGGCUUUUUAAGUUUGGUGUGAAAUCUCCCGGCUCAACUGGGAGGGUGCGCCGAAUACUGAGAGGCUAGAGUGUGGGAGAGGAAAGUGGAAUUCCUGGUGUAGCGGUGAAAUGCGUAGAUAUCAGGAGGAACACCGGUGGUGUAAACGGCUUUCUGGACCAUAACUGACGCUGAUGCACGAAAAGCGUGGGUAGCAA